KYWSMRKKMRCCCUUAGAGUUUGAUCCUGGCUCAGAACGAACGCUGGCGGCGUGCUUAACACAUGCAAGUCGAACGUGAUCCAGGGCUUGCUCUGGUGAAAGUGGCGCACGGGUGAGUAACGCGUGGAUAACCUGCCCUGGUAUCUGGGAUAACAUCUCGAAAGGGGUGCUAAUACCGGAUAAGCCUACGGGAUCUUCGGAUUCUGCAGGAAAAGGAGGCCUCUAUUUAUAAGCUUCCGUAUCAUGAUGGGUCCGCGUACCAUUAGCUAGUUGGUGGGGUAAUGGCCUACCAAGGCGACGAUGGUUAGCUGGUCUGAGAGGAUGAUCAGCCACACUGGAACUGAGACACGGUCCAGACUCCUACGGGAGGCAGCAGUGGGGAAUUUUGCGCAAUGGGGGAAACCCUGACGCAGCAACGCCGCGUGAGUGAUGAAGGCUUUCGGGUCGUAAAGCUCUGUCAGAGGGGAAGAAAUGGGUCGUGCUAAUAUCACGGCUUCUUGACGGUACCCUCAAAGGAAGCACCGGCUAACUCCGUGCCAGCAGCCGCGGUAAUAC
RNAcentral lists this ribosomal RNA (555 nucleotides) under uncultured Geobacteraceae bacterium. RNAcentral's name for it is "bacterial SSU rRNA". It matches the Rfam family "Bacterial small subunit ribosomal RNA", at positions 1 to 526 of the family's 1533-position model. The record is from RNAcentral. Lineage: Bacteria; Pseudomonadati; Thermodesulfobacteriota; Desulfuromonadia; Geobacterales; Geobacteraceae.